Molecule: ribosomal RNA, 1434 nt
Filed under: uncultured organism
Description: 16S ribosomal RNA
Rfam family: Bacterial small subunit ribosomal RNA
Source: RNAcentral
CAGGCUUAACACAUGCAAGUCGAGGGGCAGCAUGGUCUUAGCUUGCUAAGGCCGAUGGCGACCGGCGCACGGGUGAGUAACGCGUAUCCUACCUGCCUUACACUCUUGGACAGCCUUCUGAAAGGGAGAUUAAUACAAGAUGUUAUCAUGAGUAAGCAUUUUCGCAUGAUUAAAGGUUUACCGGUGUAAGAUGGGGAUGCGUUCCAUUAGAUAGUAGGCGGGGUAACGGCCCACCUAGUCUUCGAUGGAUAGGGGUUCUGAGAGGAAGGUCCCCCACAUUGGAACUGAGACACGGUCCAAACUCCUACGGGAGGCAGCAGUGAGGAAUAUUGGUCAAUGGACGAGAGUCUGAACCAGCCAAGUAGCGUGAAGGAUGAAGGUUCUAUGGAUUGUAAACUUCUUUUAUACGGGAAUAAACGGAUCCACGUGUGGAUUUUUGCAUGUACCGUAUGAAUAAGGAUCGGCUAACUCCGUGCCAGCAGCCGCGGUAAUACGGAGGAUCCGAGCGUUAUCCGGAUUUAUUGGGUUUAAAGGGAGCGUAGAUGGGUUGUUAAGUCAGUUGUGAAAGUUUGCGGCUCAACCGUAAAAUUGCAAUUGAUACUGGCAGUCUUGAGUACAGUUGAGGUAGGCGGAAUUCGUGGUGUAGCGGUGAAAUGCUUAGAUAUCACGAAGAACUCCGAUUGCGAAGGCAGCUUACUAACCUGUAACUGACAUUGAUGCUCGAAAGUGUGGGUAUCAAACAGGAUUAGAUACCCUGGUAGUCCACACGGUAAACGAUGAAUACUCGCUGUAGGCGAUAUACAGUCUGCGGCCAAGCGAAAGCAUUAAGUAUUCCACCUGGGGAGUACGCCGGCAACGGUGAAACUCAAAGGAAUUGACGGGGGCCCGCACAAGCGGAGGAACAUGUGGUUUAAUUCGAUGAUACGCGAGGAACCUUACCCGGGCUUAAAUUGCAACCGAAUAUGGCGGAAACGCUAUAGCUAGCAAUAGCGGUUGUGAAGGUGUUGCAUGGUUGUCGUCAGCUCGUGCCGUGAGGUGUCGGCUUAAGUGCCAUAACGAGCGCAACCCUUGCCGAUAGUUACUAACAGGUCAUGCUGAGGACUCUGUCGGGACUGCCAUCGUAAGAUGUGAGGAAGGUGGGGAUGACGUCAAAUCAGCACGGCCCUUACGUCCGGGGCUACACACGUGUUACAAUGGGGGGUACAGAGGGCUGCUACCACGCAAGUGGAUGCCAAUCCCAAAAACCUCUCUCAGUUCGGAUUGAAGUCUGCAACCCGACUUCAUGAAGCUGGAUUCGCUAGUAAUCGCGCAUCAGCCACGGCGCGGUGAAUACGUUCCCGGGCCUUGUACACACCGCCCGUCAAGCCAUGGGAGCCGGGGGUACCUGAAGUGCGUAACCGCAAGGAGCGCCCUAGGGUAAAACUGGUGACUGGG